Long non-coding RNA from Telopea speciosissima, 726 nucleotides. RefSeq lists it as uncharacterized. The transcript has 3 exons. Lineage: Eukaryota; Viridiplantae; Streptophyta; Magnoliopsida; Proteales; Proteaceae. The record is from RefSeq and is a predicted model, not a curated record.
UGCUUGUUACGUUGUCUCAUAGGUGAGCAUCUUACUAGUUGGGUUCGUGUUCUUACCCAAGCUGAGUUUGGAUAUAACCUUUCCAAGAACCGAACCACCGGACUUUCUCCCUUUGAGGUCUGUUUGGGUUACCAGCCUAGGACACCCAUAUAUCUUGUCCUUGUCGUGUCUAACUGUAUGACUUCCCAGUCAGCCGAGUCUUUGCGCAGUACAUACAUGAUUUGUUUUCAGAGAUUGGACGCAAGAUAGCAUUGAGCAAUGAACAAUAUAAAUCCAGGGCAAAUGUAAAGCGAUGAAUGCAAGAAUUUCAAGAGGGUGAUAUGGUGAUGGCCAGGAUUAGACCUCAAUGUUUCGUCAUAGGAAAAUCGGGCAAGCUAAAUGCUCAGAGUGCAGAUCCUUUCAAAAUUCUUAAAAGGGUAGGUGCUAAUGGCUAUGUACUUGAGUUGCUAGCUGAUAUGGGGAUCAGCAGCAUUUUCAAUGUAGAGGAUCUUGUUCCCUACCAUGGCCCAUCUACUGCCGCCUCUUUCUAUCUAGAUGAACGUGAUGAUUUUCCUUUUGCCAUUGAUGACCUUGCUACUCAGACUACUCACUUCUUGAUACUUCUUUACCACUUAUACCCAAGUUUAACGCUAGAGCCGAAGAAGUUAAGGACAUCCUUGAUGAGAGAGUUGUUUCUACACGCACUGGAGGUUCCAGAGACUUCUUGGUCAAGUGGCGUGGAUGACC